This 497-nucleotide ribosomal RNA is filed under the name uncultured bacterium. RNAcentral describes it as "partial 16S ribosomal RNA". It matches the Rfam family "Bacterial small subunit ribosomal RNA", at positions 28 to 507 of the family's 1533-position model. The record is from RNAcentral.
GAUGAACGCUGGCGGCGUGCCUAAUACAUGCAAGUCGAGCGAACGGACGAGAAGCUUGCUUCUCUGAUGUUAGCGGCGGACGGGUGAGUAACACGUGGAUAACCUACCUAUAAGACUGGGAUAACUUCGGGAAACCGGAGCUAAUACCGGAUGAUAUUUUGAACCGCAUGGUUCAAAAGUGAAAGACGGUCUUGCUGUCACUUAUAGAUGGAUCCGCGCUGCAUUAGCUAGUUGGUAAGGUCACGGCUUACCAAGGCAACGAUGCAUAGCCGACCUGAGAGGGUGAUCGGCCACACUAGAACUGAGACGCGGUCCAGACUCCUACGGGAGGCAGCAGUAGGGAAUCGUCCGCAAAGGGCGAAAGCCUGACGGAGCAACGCCGCGUGAGUGAUGAAGGUCUUCGGAUCGUAAAACUCUGUUAUUAGGGAAGAACAUAUGUGUAAGUAACUGUGCACAUCUUGACGGUACCUAAUCAGAAAGCCACGGCUAACUACGUG